GGGUUACGAGUGUAAGGAUCUAGCGAGCCAACCUCCCACCCGUGUUUACUGUACCUUAGUUGCUUCGGCGGGCCCGCCAUUCAUGGCCGCCGGGGGCUCUCAGCCCCGGGCCCGCGCCCGCCGGAGACACCACGAACUCUGUCUGAUCUAGUGAAGUCUGAGUUGAUUGUAUCGCAAUCAGUUAAAACUUUCAACAAUGGAUCUCUUGGUUCCGGCAUCGAUGAAGAACGCAGCGAAAUGCGAUAACUAGUGUGAAUUGCAGAAUUCCGUGAAUCAUCGAGUCUUUGAACGCACAUUGCGCCCCCUGGUAUUCCGGGGGGCAUGCCUGUCCGAGCGUCAUUGCUGCCCAUCAAGCACGGCUUGUGUGUUGGGUCGUCCUCCCCUCUCCGGGGAGGAUGGACCCCAAGGGUAGCGGGGGCACCGUAGCUUAUCCACUCGGGUAUGGGUCUUUCUCACGCUCUCUUUAGGAAACCGAUGGUUCUUUGUUUUACGCUUAUAUUUUUUUUUGGUUUUGCCUCUCGCUUUUUUUUG
Molecule: unclassified non-coding RNA, 531 nt
Filed under: Aspergillus flavus
Lineage: Eukaryota; Fungi; Ascomycota; Eurotiomycetes; Eurotiales; Aspergillaceae
Description: sequence contains ITS1, 5.8S rRNA gene and ITS2
Rfam family: 5.8S ribosomal RNA (bases 186-339)
Source: RNAcentral